This 468-nucleotide ribosomal RNA is filed under the name uncultured bacterium. Its description in RNAcentral is "partial 16S ribosomal RNA". It matches the Rfam family "Bacterial small subunit ribosomal RNA", at positions 28 to 507 of the family's 1533-position model. The record is from RNAcentral.
GACGAACGCUGGCGGCGUGCUUAACACAUGCAAGUCGAACGGAAAGGCCCUGCAUUUGUGGGGUGCUCGAGUGGCGAACGGGUGAGUAACACGUGAGUAACCUGCCCUUGACUUUGGGAUAACUUCACGAAACUGGGGCUAAUACCGGAUAGGAGCUCCUGCUGCAUGGUGGGGGUUGGAAAGUUUCGGCGGUUGGGGAUGGACUCGCGGCUUAUCAGCUUGUUGGUGGGGUAGUGGCUUACCAAGGCUUUGACGGGUAGCCGGCCUGAGAGGGUGACCGGCCACAUUGGGACUGAGAUACGGCCCAGACUCCAACGGGAGGCAGCGGUGGGGAAUAUUGCACAAUAGGCGGGAGCCUGAUGCAGCGACGCCGCGUGCGGGAUAACGGCCUUCGGGUUGUAAACCACUUUCGCCUGUGACGAAGCGUGAGUGACGGUAAUGGGUAAAGAAGCACCGGCUAACUACGUG